RNAcentral lists this transfer-messenger RNA (386 nucleotides) under Sphingomicrobium clamense. The stretch from base 1 to 347 matches the Rfam family "Alphaproteobacteria transfer-messenger RNA". From Rfam's summary of the family: Bacterial tmRNA, also known as 10Sa RNA or SsrA, is named for its dual tRNA and mRNA-like properties. Its role is to liberate the mRNA from a stalled ribosome. To accomplish this part of the tmRNA is used as a reading frame that ends in a translation stop signal. Lineage: Bacteria; Pseudomonadati; Pseudomonadota; Alphaproteobacteria; Sphingomonadales; Sphingomicrobiaceae. The record is from RNAcentral.
UGUCUUGUAUGCGCGGGGGCGAGCGACUAUCUAGGGAAGGCCGGUUUUCCGGCUAUGUCGGUAGAGUAUCGCGUGGAAUAGGCAUUUCGGACCCGGGGGGCAGUACCCCGGCGCCUCCACCACCAGGGCGUGAGAUUUGCGCGCAUUGCUGAUGGGGGCGAAACAGGAUCGACGAGUGCAAUAAAGACGCGGUUGCCGAUCGGUAUGGAUGCCACCGCAACGGCGCAUUUUGACAAGUGCCAACGAUAACGAGGCGCUCGCUAUUGCUGCGUAACAAGUAACCUCACGGUGAACGUUACAAAGUCAUAAGCGCGGUCGGACCCCACCGGGCAACAGAAGGGGAUUCCAGCGGCACGGAGGGCGCCGGGCAACAGAAGCCCUCCACU